GAUGAUUCCAAUUAUCGCUUGUUCUUUGAAUGCACCUUUUGGGGAGCUGGGAUGUGAGUGGCUGAGUGAACGAGGGGGCGGGGGGAGAGAGAGGAAGUGAGCCCCUGUGUGUGUGUGUGUGUGGAGAGCUGGAAGAUGAAUGAAUGAGAGGAGCCUGAUAAGCUUUGACCCAUUUUUUGUUGUGUUUGGCGUGGUUACGGCCGACAGUAACCGCAGUUCUGUACGGGAAUAAAGCGGCUAACAAGAAAGAAGGUUGUCGUCCUUUCCAGCGUUCUGUGGGACGCUACAUUGGUGUCAGAAGUAAAAGCGAGAGCACCGGACUGCUGACCGCAGCUGGCGACACUGCUCAUCAGCCUAAAGAGAGGAUGGCAGCUGGAAGUGGGGCCGGUGCCCGGCCGAGAGUUAAGCAGGAAGCUAUGGACAGUGAGUACACUGGUUCUCCGAGACGUGGGAGUGACUUUGACCGGACGGAGGAGCACAAGGCUCGCCUUAGACGGACGGCCAGGAAGCUAGCAGCUGACGCCGGGUUCGGUCAGCGUGGCGCGGAGCGGCGCUCCGACGCGGGAAAUCACACCGGAAGUGACGCGGCACCAGAUGUAAACAAAUAUGGCGGCGCCCUGUGUAUCCGUCCACAUGUAAAAACGCCAAAAUACUCCGGUAAGGCGGACUGGGAGGCCUUUCAUGCCCAAUUUGAACUAUUGGCACGUGCAGAAGCCUGGCCUGUGGACACUAAAGCACUCCAAUUAGCCCUUUGCCUCACUGAUGAUGCCCUGGCAUGCUUGCUGUUGUUGAGCCCGGCUGAAAGAGAUGAUUAUGGGGCUCUGGUUGGAGCCCUACAGCGGCGAUUUGGACAGUGUACACAGCCUAGUGUCCUGCGCACAGAGCUGACAAACAGGCAGAGACAAUCAGGUGAACCACUACGAGUUCUGGCCAAUGACAUUGAGACUCUGGCGAGGAAAGCUUAUGCCCACAUGCCCACUUAUGUGCAAGAUGAGCUAGCCAGAGACCAGUUUAUUAGAGCCAUAACCCCUAGAGAGCUACGCAUUCAAACGCAGCUGGCACACCCCCGCAGUUUACAAGAAGCUUUGGAGCUGGCUGUGGAAAGAGAAGCUGUGGGGACUGCUGCUGAGAGUGACCAUGGUCGAAGCGGACCUGUCGUGAGAACCGUGACCCAGCAAGACUCAGGUCAAGAGAAGCCAGUCUGGGCUGCUGAGUUAACGGAAAUGAUCAGAGCCGUGUCGCUGCAGUCGACAGGCGGCAACGCCCGCCCUCGCC
RNAcentral lists this long non-coding RNA (1275 nucleotides) under Gouania willdenowi (blunt-snouted clingfish). RNAcentral describes it as "lncRNA (ENSGWIG00000019296.1)". The record is from RNAcentral. Lineage: Eukaryota; Metazoa; Chordata; Actinopteri; Blenniiformes; Gobiesocidae.